UAGAAAAACCACUCAGCCGUUGACUACAUGGGCGAUAUGAUGUGUCGCGCGCCCGCCACCGCUCGGAGCACGACGACGCCUCGCAUCCCACUCCUCCCCUACGUCUUCCUCGGCCUCGCCUCCACCGUCAUGUCACAGGAGGCGGACGCGGAGGAGGAGUGGGCAGCGGUGGAGCGGCGAGGCGCUCACCUGGUAACGGGGGCGGCAGAGCGCCCCUUCAUCAUCCACGGGUUUAACACCUACUGGCUCAUGUCCUUCGCCGCCGACGAGGCCACGCGGCCGCGCGUGACCGCGGCUAUAGCCGAGGCUGCCGGGGCUGGGCUCAACGUGUGCCGCACCUGGGCGUUCGCUGACGGGGGAUACCACGCGCUGCAGACCGCGCCAUUCUGCUACGACGAGGAGGUGUUCCAGGCACUGGAUUUCGUGGUGAGCGAGGCAAGAAGGUAUAAGAUGCGGUUAAUACUGUCACUAUGUAAUAACUGGGAAGAUUAUGGAGGGAAGGCACAGUAUGUAAGAUGGGGCAAGGAGGCUGGCGUAGAUCUUACUUCUGACGAUGACUUCUUUUCUGAUCCAACACUUAAAGGGUACUAUAAAGCUUUUGUUGAGGCUGUUUUGUCAAGAAUAAACACAAUCACAAAUGAGGCCUACAAAGAAGAUCCUACUAUCCUUGCCUGGGAGCUGAUUAACGAGCCGCGUUGCCCUUCAGAUCCAUCAGGCGAUACGCUGCAGGCAUGGAUAGAAGAGAUGGCAUCUUACGUGAAGUCUAUAGAUACAGUGCACCUCGUGGAGAUUGGUAUUGAAGGAUAUUAUGGUCCGUCUACCCCAGAACUCUUGCUCGUCAACCCAGAUGAUUAUUCAGGGCAUGUUGGAACGGACUUUAUCAGGAACCAUCAAACACUGGGAAUUGAUUUAGCUUCAGUUCAUAUUUAUUCAGACACUUGGUUGCCUGACUCAACAGAGGAAAGACACGUUCAGUUUGUGAACACUUGGAUGCAACAACAUAUUGAUGAUGCAGCAAACUUGCUGGCCAUGCCCAUUGUGAUCGGGGAGUUCGGAUUAUCACUGAAGGACGGCAAGUUUGAAAACGAGUUCCGCGAAACUUUCAUGCAGACAGUGUACAAUAAUUUCUUGGGCUCUUGGGAGAGUGGAAUGAUUGGAGGAGGCUGCCUUCUAUGGCAGCUCUUCCCUGAAGGUGCAGAACACAUGGACGAUGGUUAUGCAGUUAUUUUUGCAAAAUCACCAUCCACAUUCAACCUACUUGCAAAUCACUCAAGGAAGCUAGAAUGUUGAGAGCAUGCUGCUUCCCCUUCCCCUGCUACGGCUCCGUUCGGUAUACAGGAAUGUCGCAGGAACUUUUAAAGGACUAGUUUCCGUAGGAACUUUUAAAGGAUCAGUUCGGUAUACAUGGUUUUUGAAGUCAGGAAUUUUACUGUAAAGUUGAAUGCCUUAUGUAUAUCAUGUACCCUAAUAGCUGGUCUCUGGUUCAAAAGAACGUGAUACCAUGAAAAAAAGAUUUGCAUCUUGGAGAUUUGACUAUUAGAUUAAAAAUUGGUUCUGGUGCAGCAAAGAAGAUGCUGUGAUCUGUGUCAAUGACCGAAAGCACACCCGUUGGCUUGCACACUGCAAUUACAGAAUAUGUUGGGUUCAAUUUAAGUUCCUGACAUCUCCUCUGUACCUGGACCUGGUAGAACCAAACUACUGAUAGCAUUAACAUUUAACAUCGAAGCACGCAUUGAUUCCUAGAGAAAACUAUUAUGUAUAAGUACAAUCACGCAUUAUUAUUUACCGUUUCAUUGAAGUCUGCUUUUUAGUGUUGA
Hordeum vulgare subsp. vulgare (domesticated barley) is the source of this 1817-nucleotide RNA transcript. It is a transcript of the gene named mannan endo-1,4-beta-mannosidase 8-like, with no coding region annotated. The record is from RefSeq and is a predicted model, not a curated record. The transcript has 6 exons. Lineage: Eukaryota; Viridiplantae; Streptophyta; Magnoliopsida; Poales; Poaceae.